GUGUGUGCCUGUAAUCCCACCUACUUGGGAGGCUGAGGCAGGAGAAUCGCUUGAACCCAGGAGUCGGAGGUUGCAGUAAGCUGAGAUCGCGCCACUGCACUUCAGCCUUGUGGCAGAGUGAGACUCCGUCUCAAAAAAACAAACAAACAAACAAACAAAAAACCCAAAGGUUCUUUGGACUGGUGGAUAUCCCUACCUUAUACUAUUUCAUAAAUAAUCAUGCACUGGAUAAUUGUCACAACUUUGAAGUUACUCUAAGAAUUAUGAUGGUGGAGCUGAGUCACACUUUUUAUUACAGAGAAUUCUGCCCAGGCCCUUUGCAGUGUCCUAGGGCACGCUUACUUCCAGGCUUUAGGAGUGAGAGUUCACUGGCUUAAGUGAGGAGUACACAGGACCUGCACAUCUGACCUCUCUCAAGGACUAGGCAUUGAGCUGGGAGAUAGGAAGAUCAACAGGAUCAGAGCUUUGCCUUCAAGGAGCCACACAAAAGGGAGUGGGUCCAUUCUGUUCUGCAUCAGUAGAAACCAUACCUGUUUGCCAUUG
RNAcentral lists this long non-coding RNA (543 nucleotides) under Homo sapiens (human). RNAcentral's name for it is "non-protein coding lnc-AVEN-2:1". Lineage: Eukaryota; Metazoa; Chordata; Mammalia; Primates; Hominidae. The record is from RNAcentral.